This 798-nucleotide long non-coding RNA is filed under the name Phasianus colchicus (ring-necked pheasant). RNAcentral describes it as "lncRNA (ENSPCLG00000015505.1)". Lineage: Eukaryota; Metazoa; Chordata; Aves; Galliformes; Phasianidae. The record is from RNAcentral.
GGAAUAUUAGCUCUGAAGUCCUUUCCAAAGCAGAGUAUAUAUCUUCCCAGUACAAAAAGGAAGUACUGGAAAAGUACUUACAGCAAAGCUGGAAGGCUGUUCUUUUGAUUGUGAGAUUGCCUCCAGCUAUGGUGUUCAUAUGCUACUGCCAGGAGUUACCACCCACCAGUCCUUUCAAAUGCUGAAGAAGGAGCUCAGACCACAACAGAGAGGCUGCAUGGAUUCUGGAGCAAAUUUCAGUUUUGAAGACAACUGCAGUACAGAAUCUGAUUUUUCAUUAUAUGGCUGGUGGUUCCUAGAAGGUUUCAGUUAAGUAAACAUGAAGGAUAAUAACAUCUCCUGAAAGUCUGCAGUUUCCUCAUGAAACAAAAGCUUGCAGAUGUAAGGACUGAAGACUGCACCAGUGUUGAAGAUGUCAGUAUAAAACACCAGAAGAAGUGGUACAAGAAAGUGAGGAAGCCAUCCUUGACAGAAAUAAAAGGAAUGAAGAACAGACUGCACUUGAAAAGUGUGAAUAGAAUUCUCUCGUUAUACUCUGGGAGUGUAUGAUACAGUUUGGAGGAACUUCUUUUCAGCUCUGAAAGUGAAUUAUUGAAGAAUCCAUUUCAUUUUCCAUCGGGGAUUUCAUUUUGUAUCUGGGAUACAGUUAACAAUGUCAUAGGACAAAAAUAUAGGAAUACCCAAGCAAUCACAUUUGUUUGUUUGAUUUUGUUUGUUUUACAAUCUUCAGUGUCAUUUUUUAUUCAUUAGAAUUCACAGAAGUGGCCUUAGCUUAGAUCAUUUCUGCUCCAAUGUAAG